Long non-coding RNA from Rhincodon typus (whale shark), 965 nucleotides. RefSeq lists it as uncharacterized. NCBI's taxonomy places the organism in Eukaryota, Metazoa, Chordata, Chondrichthyes, Orectolobiformes, Rhincodontidae. The record is from RefSeq and is a predicted model, not a curated record. The transcript has 2 exons.
UCCCCUCCCCCACGCUGUCCUGGCCUCACGUCCCAAGAUUCCAGCCCACCCCUCUAUUUAUCUCUGAGCUCCCUUCCCCCUACUCAGUUUUGAAGAAGGCACCUGACUCGAAAUAUCAACUUUUCACAUUGUGUUGUCUCUGACUGACUUAUAACCCCACUGCGAAGCAUCUUCCGAGGAUGCCCACCUUGAAGAAGCUGACCUUCCCUCCAACUCAGGAAAGACCUCAGUGGAUCUUUCUCCCACUGGUAAUCUCUGUCCUGAAACUCUUAACCUGCAUCCACCUAUCACUAGCCCACCUAACUUCUCCUAGCCCCACCCUUCCUCCCACUAUUUAUUUCCAUGCUCCUUUCCCUUUCUAAUAUAUGUCAGCAACGACAAAGAGCAAUGUAAAGACAAGGGAAACAUUCAGAACCAAGGCCUGAAGACUAUGGAUGGAAUAUCUGAAUUCUAAUCCUGCAAGGAGCUGGGUGAGUGCAAUGUCAUCCCCAAGCUAGGGAGACCAACAGUGCCAGGAUAAGUUACUAUUUGGAAUUGGGUGCAUCAGCAUAAGUGGCAGCAAGCAAAUCACAUGAAAUGCAAAGGCAACUGGAGAAACAAUUAAGGACUCUACUUUCAAAGUGAGUAAAUGGGUGAAAAGGAAGACCAGGAACAGAAUUUAUCGAACAACCCCAAGAAAGAAACCAAUGAACAACAUUCCACUUCAAAUGACUUUUAACAACCCAAGUGAACCCAACAUAAAUUAGACAAAUUAACAAGCAGAUUUGCAGACAGAAAAACAAAAGAACAGCAGAUGCUGGAAACCAGAAACAAAACCAGAAAUGCUGGGAAAACUGGCAGUUCUGAAGAAAGAUCACUGGACCCAAAAUGUUAAUUCUGCUUUCUCUGAACUGAUGCUGCCAGAUUUUCUGUAUCUUAGAAAUUAUGUACCAAAUGAUAGAUACAAUAAAAUUGAAUCUCGUGGA